RNAcentral lists this ribosomal RNA (449 nucleotides) under uncultured bacterium. Its description in RNAcentral is "partial 16S ribosomal RNA". It matches the Rfam family "Bacterial small subunit ribosomal RNA", at positions 29 to 523 of the family's 1533-position model. The record is from RNAcentral.
AACGAACGCUGGCGGCAUGCCUAACACAUGCAAGUCGAACGAGACCUUCGGGUCUAGUGGCGCACGGGUGCGUAACGCGUGGGAAUCUGCCCUUCGGUUCGGAAUAACUCAGGGAAACUUGAGCUAAUACCGGAUGAUGUCUUCGGACCAAAGAUUUAUCGCCAAGGGAUGAGCCCGCGUAGGAUUAGGUAGUUGGUGGGGUAAUGGCCCACCAAGCCGACGAUCCUUAGCUGGUCUGAGAGGAUGAUCAGCCACACUGGGACUGAGACACGGCCCAGACUCCUACGGGAGGCAGCAGUGGGGAAUAUUGGACAAUGGGCGAAAGCCUGAUCCAGCAAUGCCGCGUGAGUGAUGAAGGCCUUAGGGUUGUAAAGCUCUUUUACCAGGGAUGAUAAUGACAGUACCUGGAGAAUAAGCUCCGGCUAACUCCGUGCCAGCCGCCGCGGUAA